GACGAACGCUGGCGGCGUGCUUAACACAUGCAAGUCGAGCGGAAAGGCCCCUUUGGGGGUACUCGAGUGGCGAACGGGUGAGUAACACGUGAGUAACCUGCCCUUGACUUCGGGAUAACUUCAGGAAACUGGGGCUAAUACCGGAUAGGAAUCCUUGCUGCAUGGUGGGGGUUGGAAAGCUUCGGCGGUUUUGGAUGGACUCGCGGCUUAUCAGCUUGUUGGUGGGGUAGUGGCUUACCAAGGCUUUGACGGGUAGCCGGCCUGAGAGGGCGACCGGCCACAUUGGGACUGAGAUACGGCCCAGACUCCUACGGGAGGCAGCAGUGGGGAAUAUUGCACAAUGGGCGGAAGCCUGAUGCAGCAACGCCGCGUGCGGGAUGACGGCCUUCGGGUUGUAAACCGCUUUCAGCAGGGGCGAAGCUUGUGGUGACGGUACCUGCAGAAGAAGCACCGGCUAACUACGUG
Molecule: ribosomal RNA, 465 nt
Filed under: uncultured bacterium
Lineage: Bacteria
Description: partial 16S ribosomal RNA
Rfam family: Bacterial small subunit ribosomal RNA
Source: RNAcentral